Molecule: ribosomal RNA, 1200 nt
Filed under: Bacillus pumilus
Lineage: Bacteria; Bacillati; Bacillota; Bacilli; Caryophanales; Bacillaceae
Description: bacterial SSU rRNA
Rfam family: Bacterial small subunit ribosomal RNA
Source: RNAcentral
UACCGGCCUGGAAGGGGGAUCGCCCAACUGGGACUGAGACCCGGCCCAGAUUCUUACGGGAGGCAGCAGUAGGGAUCUUCCGCAAUGGACGAAAGUCUGACGGAGCAACGCCGCUUGAAUGAUGAAGGUUUUCGGAUCGUAAAGCUCUGUUGUUAGGGAAGAACAAGUGCGAGAGUAACUGCUCGCACCUUGACGGUACCUAACCAGAAAGCCACGGCUAACUACGUGCCAGCAGCCGCGGUAAUAUAUAGGUGGCAAGCGUUGUCCGGAAUUAUUGGGCGUAAAGGGCUCGCAGGCGGUUUCUUAAGUCUGAUGUGAAAGCUCCCGGCUCAACCGGGGAGGGUCAUUGGAAACUGGGAAACUUGAGUGCAGAAGAGGAGAGUGGAAUUCCACGUGUAGCGGUGAAAUGCGUAGAGAUGUGGAGGAACACCAGUGGCGAAGGCGACUCUCUGGUCUGUAACUGACGCUGAGGAGCGAAAGCGUGGGGAGCGAACAGGAUUAGAUACCCUGGUAGUCCACGCCGUAAACGAUGAGUGCUAAGUGUUAGGGGGUUUCCGCCCCUUAGUGCUGCAGCUAACGCAUUAAGCACUCCGCCUGGGGAGUACGGUCGCAAGACUGAAACUCAAAGGAAUUGACGGGGGCCCGCACAAGCGGUGGAGCAUGUGGUUUAAUUCGAAGCAACGCGAAGAACCUUACCAGGUCUUGACAUCCUCUGACAACCCUAGAGAUAGGGCUUUCCCUUCGGGGACAGAGUGACAGGUGGUGCAUGGUUGUCGUCAGCUCGUGUCGUGAGAUGUUGGGUUAAGUCCCGCAACGAGCGCAACCCUUGAUCUUAGUUGCCAGCAUUUAGUUGGGCACUCUAAGGUGACUGCCGGUGACAAACCGGAGGAAGGUGGGGAUGACGUCAAAUCAUCAUGCCCCUUAUGACCUGGGCUACACACGUGCUACAAUGGACAGAACAAAGGGCUGCGAGACCGCAAGGUUUAGCCAAUCCCAUAAAUCUGUUCUCAGUUCGGAUCGCAGUCUGCAACUCGACUGCGUGAAGCUGGAAUCGCUAGUAAUCGCGGAUCAGCAUGCCGCGGUGAAUACGUUCCCGGGCCUUGUACACACCGCCCGUCACACCACGAGAGUUUGCAACACCCGAAGUCGGUGAAGGUAACCUUUAUGGAGCCGGCGUAAGGGAAUGAUAGGAAAGGGGAA